AGUAAUAUAUCGGAACGUUAUCCAAUAAUGGGGGAUAACUAAUCGAAAGGUUGGCUAAUACCGCAUACGCCCUACGGGGGAAAGCUAGGGAUCUUCGGACCUGGCGUUAAUGGAGCGGCCGAUAUCUGAUUAGCUAGUUGGUGAGGUAAGAGCUCACCAAGGCGACGAUCAGUAGCUGGUCUGAGAGGACGACCAGCCACACUGGAACUGAGACACGGUCCAG
This 223-nucleotide ribosomal RNA is filed under the name uncultured bacterium. RNAcentral describes it as "partial 16S ribosomal RNA". It matches the Rfam family "Bacterial small subunit ribosomal RNA", at positions 109 to 334 of the family's 1533-position model. The record is from RNAcentral.